GUUCCUGUAGCGCAAUGAAUAGCUCGUUGGACUUCUGAUCCAAAGGUCAUGGGUUCGAAUCCCACCAGGAAUG
This 73-nucleotide transfer RNA is filed under the name Trichonephila inaurata madagascariensis. It matches the Rfam family "tRNA". From Rfam's summary of the family: Transfer RNA (tRNA) molecules are approximately 80 nucleotides in length. Their secondary structure includes four short double-helical elements and three loops (D, anti-codon, and T loops). The record is from Rfam by way of RNAcentral. Lineage: Eukaryota; Metazoa; Arthropoda; Arachnida; Araneae; Nephilidae.